Molecule: long non-coding RNA, 551 nt
Organism: Neopsephotus bourkii (Bourke's parrot)
Lineage: Eukaryota; Metazoa; Chordata; Aves; Psittaciformes; Psittacidae
Exons: 3
Source: RefSeq, a predicted model, not a curated record
ACUUUUGACUAGACUGCAUUGCUCAAGACCCCAUCCAACCUGGCCUUGAAGUCUCUUGUCUGACAGCACAAGCAGAUGCUCUCCUGGAGCUGGGCACCUCAAGCCCUGUGGGCUGAGUCCUGACUUCUCCACAUGGGAGCAUGGAACCAUCCCUUGUUCGGCACUGUUUGGAGGGCUGGCUGGAAUUCACCAUCUGGAUAUUUAGCUCUCUGCAGGGAGCUGGUCUUCCUGGCCCAGUCUCCUCUUUAGGGUCAGCUAAGGACAUCUUCUGGAUCCCAUUUAAAGGUGGGAGACGGCAUGGCAUGUUUGGAAGCCCAAAUCUUCAGCCCUUUGAGAAAGGGGUGUUUGAAGGAUCCUAUGGAAGAAGCUCUGGGAAACCCAGCAUCCUUUGCCAGCUCUCCUUCUGUCAGCUCCUAACAGCAGUGGCCAGAAAUACAGCCCAGUGCGGGAUGUCUUGGUCAUGGAACGCUGAAUGACAGUGUCACCAGCUGGUUUAAAACUCUUCCCUGAUACCUGAGAAACAGACAUUCCUUCUUAAGGGUGCGAGCGGG